CGGGGAUUUGGCAUGGGCGAAAGCCUGAUCAGCAAUGCCGCGUGUGUGAAGAAGGCCUUCGGGUUGUAAAGCACUUUUGUCCGGAAAGAAAUGGCUCUGGUUAAUACCUGGGGUCGAUGACGGUACCGGAAGAAUAAGGACCGGCUAACUACGUGCCAGCAGCCGCGGUAAUACGUAGGGUCCAAGCGUUAAUCGGAAUUACUGGGCGUAAAGCGUGCGCAGGCGGUUGUGCAAGACCGAUGUGAAAUCCCCGAGCUUAACUUGGGAAUUGCAUUGGUGACUGCACGGCUAGAGUGUGUCAGAGGGGGGUAGAAUUCCACGUGUAGCAGUGAAAUGCGUAGAGAUGUGGAGGAAUACCGAUGGCGAAGGCAGCCCCCUGGGAUAACACUGACGCUCAUGCACGAAAGCGU
Molecule: ribosomal RNA, 410 nt
Filed under: uncultured bacterium
Lineage: Bacteria
Description: bacterial SSU rRNA
Rfam family: Bacterial small subunit ribosomal RNA
Source: RNAcentral